AGUGAACGCUGGCGGUAGGCCUAACACAUGCAAGUCGAACGGCAGCACAGUAAGAGCUUGCUCUUACGGGUGGCGAGUGGCGGACGGGUGAGGAAUACAUCGGAAUCUACUUUUUCGUGGGGGAUAACGUAGGGAAACUUACGCUAAUACCGCAUACGACCUACGGGUGAAAGCAGGGGAUCUUCGGACCUUGCGCGAUUGAAUGAGCCGAUGUCGGAUUAGUUAGUUGGCGGGGUAAAGGCCCGCCAAGGCGACGAUCCGUAGCUGGUCUGAGAGGAUGAUCAGCCACACUGGAACUGAGACACGGUCCAGACUCCUACGGGAGGCAGCAGUGGGGAAUAUUGGACAAUGGGCGCAAGCCUGAUCCAGCCAUACCGCGUGGGUGAAGAAGGCCUUCGGGUUGUAAAGCCCUUUUGUUGGGAAAGAAAAGCAGCAGGUUAAUACCCCGCUGUUCUGACGGUACCCAAAGAAUAAGCACCGGCUAACUUCGUG
RNAcentral lists this ribosomal RNA (492 nucleotides) under uncultured bacterium. Its description in RNAcentral is "partial 16S ribosomal RNA". It matches the Rfam family "Bacterial small subunit ribosomal RNA", at positions 29 to 507 of the family's 1533-position model. The record is from RNAcentral.